GACGAACGCUGGCGGCGUGCUUAACACAUGCAAGUCGAGCGGAAAGGCCCUUUCGGGGUACUCGAGCGGCGAACGGGUGAGUAACACGUGAGUAAUCUGCCCUUGGCUUUGGGAUAACCACCGGAAACGGUGGCUAAUACCGGAUAUGACGGGCUCCGGCAUCGGGGUUCGUGGAAAGUUUUUCGGCCAGGGAUGUGCUCGCGGCCUAUCAGCUUGUUGGUGGGGUAAUGGCCUACCAAGGCUUCGACGGGUAGCCGGCCUGAGAGGGUGACCGGCCACACUGGGACUGAGACACGGCCCAGACUCCUACGGGAGGCAGCAGUGGGGAAUAUUGGACAAUGGGCGGAAGCCUGAUCCAGCAACGCCGCGUGAGGGAUGACGGCCUUCGGGUUGUAACCUACUUCUAGUACCGACGAAG
This 418-nucleotide ribosomal RNA is filed under the name uncultured bacterium. Its description in RNAcentral is "bacterial SSU rRNA". It matches the Rfam family "Bacterial small subunit ribosomal RNA", at positions 28 to 450 of the family's 1533-position model. The record is from RNAcentral.